RNAcentral lists this ribosomal RNA (254 nucleotides) under uncultured bacterium. RNAcentral describes it as "partial 16S ribosomal RNA". It matches the Rfam family "Bacterial small subunit ribosomal RNA", at positions 524 to 776 of the family's 1533-position model. The record is from RNAcentral.
UACGGGGGGGGCAAGCGUUGUUCGGAAUUACUGGGCGUAAAGGGCGCGUAGGCGGCCUGGCAAGUGGAAGGUGAAAUCCCUCGGCUUAACCGAGGAACUGCCCUCCAAACUGCUUGGCUUGAGUCCGGGAGAGGUGAGUGGAAUUCCCAGUGUAGCGGUGAAAUGCGUAGAUAUUGGGAAGAACACCGGUGGCGAAGGCGGCUCACUGGCUCGUAUCUGACGCUCAGGCGCGACAGCGUGGGGAUCGAAACAGG